Molecule: long non-coding RNA, 668 nt
Organism: Lepisosteus oculatus (spotted gar)
Lineage: Eukaryota; Metazoa; Chordata; Actinopteri; Semionotiformes; Lepisosteidae
Source: RefSeq, a predicted model, not a curated record
AUGCGAGGAUGUGCGCAUGGUAGCACCACGAGCAGGCGUGCUCGCGCGGGGCUCUGCUCGUGGGGUUUUUCCUCAGUAAAGGUGACAUGUUCUCCAAACCCUGACCUGACCGCUCGGUAAAGUCAUCCCUCCGGACACUCAGAGUAGACACUGAAAUGGCAUUUUUUUUUUAUUCUUUUCCUUUUUCAAAUAGAUUUUAUUCUCUGAAAGCUACACACUUUUCUUCUAACGCCCCCAGACAAACUCGCCGAGGUAUUUUCAAGAAGAAUUCACUGUCGCCCGACGGAGAGAAAAGACGAGAGACUUUUCUCUCCGGCCACAGCAGACAAGGGGGGGCAUCUCCGAACUCUGCAGGAGCUGCGCGGCUCCAGUAUUUUGCUUAAAUACUCCAAUUCCGGACGCCACUGAGGAGAUCCUGCUGAAGGAAAGGAUUCCUGUCUUUUCUGCCAUUUUUUUUUCUAGAGGUCAAAAAACUCCUUGUUCUGUCGUAGUGGCGUUUGAUUUACAUGAGUCUUUAUAUACAAUGCAUGGAUAGGCCCCUGAAACACUUUGCAAUCAACCACAUCACAAGAUUUAUAGAGGCCAGUAUGCUUAAAAUAUUAGGAAUUUAUAUUGAUUCAACUGUUUAAGUCAUUGAUUAAAUGCUGUGGCAUGAUGUUUCGACCAUA